Molecule: ribosomal RNA, 1343 nt
Filed under: uncultured bacterium
Lineage: Bacteria
Description: 16S ribosomal RNA
Rfam family: Bacterial small subunit ribosomal RNA
Source: RNAcentral
GACGAACGCUGGCGGCGUGCUUAACACAUGCAAGUCGAACGGAAAGGCCCUGCUUUUGUGGGGUGCUCGAGUGGCGAACGGGUGAGUAGCACGUGAGUAACCUGCCCUUGACUUUGGGAUAACUUCAGGAAACUGGGGCUAAUACCGGAUAGGAGCUCCUGCUGCAUGGUGGGGGUUGGAAAGUUUCGGCGGUUGGGGAUGGACUCGCGGCUUAUCAGCUUGUUGGUGGGGUAGUGGCUUACCAAGGCUUUGACGGGUAGCCGGCCUGAGAGGGUGACCGGCCACAUUGGGACUGAGAUACGGCCCAGACUCCUACGGGAGGCAGCAGUGGGGAAUAUUGCACAAUGGGCGGAAGCCUGAUGCAGCGACGCCGCGUGCGGGAUGACGGCCUUCGGGUUGUAAACCGCUUUCGCCUGUGACGAAGCGUGAGUGACGGUAAUGGGUAAAGAAGCACCGGCUAACUACGUGCCAGCAGCCGCGGUGAUACGUAGGGUGCGAGCGUUGUCCGGAUUUAUUGGGCGUAAAGGGUUCGUAGGUGGUUGAUCGCGUCGGAAGUGUAAUCUUGGGGCUUAACCCUGAGCGUGCUUUCGAUACGGGUUGACUUGAGGAAGGUAGGGGAGAAUGGAAUUCCUGGUGGAGCGGUGGAAUGCGCAGAUAUCAGGAGGAACACCAGUGGCGAAGGCGGUUCUCUGGGCCUUUCCUGACGCUGAGGAGCGAAAGCGUGGGGAGCGAACAGGCUUAGAUACCCUGGUAGUCCACGCUGUAAACGGUGGGUACUAGGUGUGGGGUCCAUUCCACGGGUUCCGUGCCGUAGCUAACGCUUUAAGUACCCCGCCUGGGGAGUACGGCCGCAAGGCUAAAACUCAAAGGAAUUGACGGGGCCCCGCACAAGCGGCGGAGCAUGCGGAUUAAUUCGAUGCAACGCGUAGAACCUUACCUGGGUUUGACAUGGAUCGGGAGUGCUCAGAGAUGGGUGUGCCUCUUUUGGGGUCGGUUCACAGGUGGUGCAUGCCUGUCGUCAGCUCGUGUCGUGAGAUGUUGGGUUAAGUCCCGCAACGAGCGCAACCCUUGUUCACUGUUGCCAGCACGUUAUGGUGGGGACUCAGUGGAGACCGCCGGGGUCAACUCGGAGGAAGGUGGGGAUGACGUCAAGUCCUCAUGCCCCUUAUGUCCAGGGCUUCACGCAUGCUACAAUGGCUGGUACAGAGAGUGGCGAGCCUGUGAGGGUGAGCGAAUCUCGGAAAGCCGGUCUCAGUUCGGAUUGGAGUCUGCAACUCGACCUCAUGAAGUCGGAGUCGCUAGUAAUCGCAAAUCAGCAACGCUGCGGUGAAUACGUUCCCGGG